ACUGUGCCAGUUACAUGUGUCAGCCAAUAGGCUGACACAUGUAACACUGAUCGCAGUGACAGGCUGUCACUGCGAUCAGAGCGCUGAUCAGUGACAGGCUGUCACUGCGAUCAGAGCGCUCUGAGAUUGCAGUGACAGCCUGUCACU
Small nucleolar RNA from Pelobates fuscus (common spadefoot toad), 147 nucleotides. RefSeq annotates it as small nucleolar RNA SNORA17. NCBI's taxonomy places the organism in Eukaryota, Metazoa, Chordata, Amphibia, Anura, Pelobatidae. The record is from RefSeq and is a predicted model, not a curated record. The transcript has a single exon.